This 67-nucleotide transfer RNA is filed under the name Marmota monax (woodchuck). RNAcentral's name for it is "tRNA.Pro". The record is from RNAcentral. Lineage: Eukaryota; Metazoa; Chordata; Mammalia; Rodentia; Sciuridae.
GGAAUGUAGCUCGGUGGUAAAGUGUUUGCCUAGGAUGCAAAGGCCCUAAGUUCAAAUCCCAGUACCA